Molecule: ribosomal RNA, 799 nt
Filed under: Corynebacterium pseudotuberculosis
Lineage: Bacteria; Bacillati; Actinomycetota; Actinomycetes; Mycobacteriales; Corynebacteriaceae
Description: bacterial SSU rRNA
Rfam family: Bacterial small subunit ribosomal RNA
Source: RNAcentral
UGGUGGAAAGUUUUUUCGGUACGAGAUGAGCCCGCGGCCUAUCAGCUUGUUGGUGGGGUAAUGGCCUACCAAGGCGUCGACGGGUAGCCGGCCUGAGAGGGUGGACGGCCACAUUGGGACUGAGAUACGGCCUAGACUCCUACGGGAGGCAGCAGUGGGGAAUAUUGCACAAUGGGCGCAAGCCUGAUGCAGCGACGCCGCGUGAGGGAUGACGGGCUUCGGGUUGUAAACCUCUUUCCACAGGGACGAAUUUUUUUGUGACGGUACCUGUAUAAGAAGCACCGGCUAACUACGUGCCAGCAGCCGCGGUAAUACGUAGGGUGCGAGCGUUGUCCCGAAUUACAGGGCGUAAAGAGCUCAUAGGUGGUUUGUCGCGUCGUCUGUGAAAUUUCGGGGCAUAACUCCGGGCGUGCAGGCGAUACGGGCAUAACUUGAGUGCUGUAGGGGAGACUGGAAUUCCUGGUGUAGCGGUGGAAUGCGCAGAUAUCAGGAGGAACACCGAUGGCGAAGGCAGGUCUCUGGGCAGUAACUGACGCUGAGGAGCGAAAGCAUGGGGAGCGAACAGGAUUAGAUACCCUGGUAGUCCAUGCCGUAAACGGUGGGCGCUAGGUGUGAGGGUCUUCCACGACUUUCGUGCCGUAGCUAACGCAUUAAGCGCCCCGCCUGGGGAGUACGGCCGCAAGGCUAAAACUCAAAGGAAUUGACGGGGGCCCGCACAAGCGGCGGAGCAUGUGGAUUAAUUCGAUGCAACGCGAAGAACCUUACCUGGGCUUGACAUAUACAAGAUCGGCGUAGAGAU